This is a long non-coding RNA of Harpia harpyja (harpy eagle), 319 nucleotides long. RefSeq lists it as uncharacterized. The record is from RefSeq and is a predicted model, not a curated record. The transcript is spliced from 3 exons. NCBI's taxonomy places the organism in Eukaryota, Metazoa, Chordata, Aves, Accipitriformes, Accipitridae.
GGGGGGGGGGGGGGGGCUGUGGGACCCCAUCUGGUGCCUACAGGGGUCCGAGGGGUCCCCGAGGGGGAUCUCCACGGUCCCUAUGUUGACCUAUAGGCCCCCGUGGCGACCUGUAGGAUAUUUACGGGGUGCCUACGGUGCUCUACAGGUCCCCAAAAAGGACUUACGGGUCCCCGUGGGGUGUCUGUGGGGUCUCUACGCUGCCCUGUACGUCCCCACGUUGACCUACGAGUCCCCCCCAGUAGCCUACUGGUCCCCAAAGACGACCUAUACGUCUCCCACGAUGUCUACGGGGUCCCCACGGUGGCCUACAGGUCCC